AAUAAAAGUCAUCAAUUUGUUAUGAGUCUCGAGUGAUUGUGAUAUAU
RNAcentral lists this non-coding RNA (47 nucleotides) under Trypanosoma brucei brucei. The record is from RNAcentral. Lineage: Eukaryota; Euglenozoa; Kinetoplastea; Trypanosomatida; Trypanosomatidae.